GGCUGUGUAGUGUAGUGGUUUAUCACUCGAGAUUUUGAUUACGUAAUCCUCAUUCUCGUAACCCCGGUUCGAACCCGGGCACGGCCU
This is a non-coding RNA of Ceratobasidium sp. AG-I, 87 nucleotides long. The record is from the annotation of a GenBank genome assembly. Lineage: Eukaryota; Fungi; Basidiomycota; Agaricomycetes; Cantharellales; Ceratobasidiaceae.